Molecule: ribosomal RNA, 253 nt
Filed under: uncultured bacterium
Lineage: Bacteria
Description: partial 16S ribosomal RNA
Rfam family: Bacterial small subunit ribosomal RNA
Source: RNAcentral
UACGUAUGGUGCAAGCGUUAUCCGGAUUUACUGGGUGUAAAGGGAGCGCAGGCGGCACGGCAAGCCUGAUGUGAAAGCCCGCGGCCCAACCGCGGGACUGCACUGGGAACUACCGGGCUGGAGUGCCGGAGAGGUAGGCGGAAUUCCUAGUGUAGCGGUGAAAUGCGUAGAUAUUAGGAGGAACACCAGUGGCGAAGGCGGCCUACUGGACGGUGACUGACGCUGAGGCUCGAAAGCGUGGGGAGCAAACAGG